Molecule: ribosomal RNA, 403 nt
Filed under: uncultured bacterium
Lineage: Bacteria
Description: partial 16S ribosomal RNA
Rfam family: Bacterial small subunit ribosomal RNA
Source: RNAcentral
GACGAACGCUGGCGGCGUGCCUAAUACAUGCAAGUCGAACGCAGUGGGGACGGGUGAGUAACACGUGGGUAACCUCCCAUCAGAGGGGAUAACACUUGGAAAAAGGUGCUAAACCGAUACUGAUGGAUGGACCCGCGGUGCAUUAGCUAGUUGGAGAGGUAACGGCUCACCAGGGCCACGAUGCCUAGCCGACCUGAGGGGGUGUCCGGCCACACGGGACCUGAUACACGGCCCAGACUCCUACGUGAGGCAGCAGUAGGGAAUCUUCGGCAAUGGACGAAAGUCUGACCGAGCAACGCCGCGUGAGUGAAGAAGUUUUUCGGAGCGUAAAACUCUGUUGUUAGAGAAGCGGUAUCUAACCAGAAAGCCACGGCUAACUACGUGCCAGCCGCCGCGGUAAUUC